AUGGCUAUAAAAUAGUCUGGGCACUGGGUGUCCGAGGCAUUCAGAAAACUUUUCAAUUUCUCUCUAUUGCUCUCUCUUCUAUCUAACAACCUAUCUUAGGUUUAGGACAAGGCUUUAAGAUUUAAAACAAAGCCUUAUCUGAUUCAGAAAAAGAUUGUGAAGAUUAAAAGCAGAGGAUUCAGAAGUCUAGAGGAGGUUCUAAGAGAGUCGAGUUAGGUUCUUAGAAAAACUUGAUCGAUACAGGG
RNAcentral lists this long non-coding RNA (245 nucleotides) under Elaeis guineensis (African oil palm). Its description in RNAcentral is "long non-coding RNA (EGUI_LNC059316)". The record is from RNAcentral. Lineage: Eukaryota; Viridiplantae; Streptophyta; Magnoliopsida; Arecales; Arecaceae.